RNAcentral lists this ribosomal RNA (530 nucleotides) under Pseudomonas sp. RNAcentral describes it as "bacterial SSU rRNA". It matches the Rfam family "Bacterial small subunit ribosomal RNA", at positions 128 to 653 of the family's 1533-position model. Lineage: Bacteria; Pseudomonadati; Pseudomonadota; Gammaproteobacteria; Pseudomonadales; Pseudomonadaceae. The record is from RNAcentral.
GCCUGGUAGUGGGGGAUAACGCUCGGAAACGGACGCUAAUACCGCAUACGUCCUACGGGAGAAAGCAGGGGACCUUCGGGCCUUGCGCUAUCAGAUGAGCCUAGGUCGGAUUAGCUAGUUGGUGAGGUAAUGGCUCACCAAGGCGACGAUCCGUAACUGGUCUGAGAGGAUGAUCAGUCACACUGGAACUGAGACACGGUCCAGACUCCUACGGGAGGCAGCAGUGGGGAAUAUUGGACAAUGGGCGAAAGCCUGAUCCAGCCAUGCCGCGUGUGUGAAGAAGGUCUUCGGAUUGUAAAGCACUUUAAGUUGGGAGGAAGGGCAUUAACCUAAUACGUUAGUGUUUUGACGUUACCGACAGAAUAAGCACCGGCUAACUCUGUGCCAGCAGCCGCGGUAAUACAGAGGGUGCAAGCGUUAAUCGGAAUUACUGGGCGUAAAGCGCGCGUAGGUGGUUCGUUAAGUUGGAUGUGAAAUCCCCGGGCUCAACCUGGGAACUGCAUUCAAAACUGUCGAGCUAGAGUAUGGUA